Molecule: non-coding RNA, 1018 nt
Organism: Podarcis muralis (Common wall lizard)
Lineage: Eukaryota; Metazoa; Chordata; Lepidosauria; Squamata; Lacertidae
Source: RefSeq, a predicted model, not a curated record
CAGAUAUUACCGAGAAACAGUACAGAAAAGUGUCUGUGUUCUAAGUCAGCUGCCUCUGUAUGGGCUACUCCAGGCUAAGCUGCAGCUAAUUACACAUGCCUACUUUGAAGAAAAAGACUUCUCACAAAUUUCAAUACUUAAGGAACUUUAUGAGCAUAUGAAUAGCUCGCUGGGAGGAAGCCCCCUGGAAGGAUCACAAGUUUAUCUCGGCCUGUCUCCACGAGAUCUUGUCCUUCAGUUUAGACACAAGGUCUUAAUACUUUUUAAGCUGAUUCUCCUAGAGAAAAAGGUAAGAUCUCUUCCUUCUCCCCAAGUUGGCAGAAAGAACUGAAAUGGACUUGCUUAAUGACGUAGUUUAAUGGAAUAUGGAUUAAAAGCCUCUGUGGAUAGAUGUUAUGAGCUAUCCCACACAUGCAGUUAGCUAGUAUGGAGACGUGCCUGUUCUGUUUGCCUGCUUUUUAAUGUUUCAAUUCAGCAGUAGUUGCCAUGGCAAAGGUAAGCGAACUUUGCUAAAGUUGUGGUGUGGCUAUAUGGAUACAGAUAUGCAGAUGUACAGAGACAGCUGUAUGCAAGGCAGCAUAACACAAAAUGGCUGCCAAAUAUAAAAAAGCAGAAAAGGAAAGUACCCCAAAAUGGUACAGGCAUGUCUCCUUCCGCCCCGCUGGGAAAAAGGCACCUACAUCAGCCAACACUGUGCUCACUCCCAGAGAGAAGCUCUCUGCAUCUUUCCUUUGCUCAGACCAUGUCACAGCCUUGACAUGUAAUAAAAGAUGGGCAGGCUUAUAAGAGUGUGUGUUCAGUGUAGUAGAAGCCAAGCCAAUGCAAACAGGAACUGGGCAGAAAGAGCAAAUCAUCUCUCAAGCAUUGUAGAUUUUUGAGAGGAUAUUUACUGAGAUCAUUUGCGGGAACCAUAGGAGGUUAGGGUACCCUUGGUUUAUAUUCAUCCAGUAGCCACAUAUGUUUAAAAAUGAAGGGUGGAAGGGAUUAAUUCAUGGGUAGGCAACUUAAGGCCCGGGGA